This 834-nucleotide ribosomal RNA is filed under the name uncultured Planctomycetota bacterium. RNAcentral describes it as "bacterial SSU rRNA". It matches the Rfam family "Bacterial small subunit ribosomal RNA", at positions 41 to 865 of the family's 1533-position model. Lineage: Bacteria; Pseudomonadati; Planctomycetota. The record is from RNAcentral.
GGCAUGGAUUAGGCAUGCAAGUCGUGCGCGAAAGUCUUCGAACGAGUAAAGCGGCGAAAGGGUGAGUAACACGUAACCAACGUACCCCUCAGAUCGGGAUAACCACCGGAAACGGUGGAUAAUACUGAAUGGUCCUAGGAAGGACAUCCUUCCGAAGGUAAACGGCGGCUUCGGCUGCUGUUGAGGGAGCGGGUUGCGUCCUAUCAGCUUGUUGGUGAGGUAACGGCUCACCAAGGCUAUGACGGGUAGCGGGUCUGAGAGGAUGAUCCGCCACACUGGGACUGAGACACUGCCCAGACUCCUACGGGAGGCUGCAGUCGAGAAUCUUCCACAAUGGGCGAAAGCCUGAUGGAGCGACGCUGCGUGUAGGAUGAAGGCCUUAGGGUUGUAAACUACUGUCACGCUAUAGGAACCCGUGUAGGUUAAUAGCCUGCGCGCUGACCAAAGCGAGAGGAAGUGCCGGCUAACUCCGUGCCAGCAGCCGCGGUAAGACGGAGGGCGCAAGCGUUGUUCGGAAUCACUGGGCAUAAAGGGCGCGUAGGCGGCCAGUUCAGUCGGAUGUGAAAUCCCCCGGCCCAACCGGGGAACUGCAUUCGAUACUGACUGGCUAGAGGAUGGUAGGAGCCAAUGGAACUCCAGGUGGAACGGUGAAAUGUGUAGAUAUCUGGAGGAACACCGGUGGCGAAAGCGAUUGGCUGGGCCAUUUCUGACGCUGAGGCGCGAAAGCUAGGGGAGCGAACGGGAUUAGAUACCCCGGUAGUCCUAGCCGUAAACGAUGGGUACUGGGCAAUGGACUUACCUAUGUAGUUCAUUGCUGUAGCUAAUGUGUUAAGU